RNAcentral lists this transfer RNA (76 nucleotides) under Suttonella indologenes. RNAcentral describes it as "tRNA-Arg(cct)". It matches the Rfam family "tRNA". From Rfam's summary of the family: Transfer RNA (tRNA) molecules are approximately 80 nucleotides in length. The record is from RNAcentral. Lineage: Bacteria; Pseudomonadati; Pseudomonadota; Gammaproteobacteria; Cardiobacteriales; Cardiobacteriaceae. RNAcentral also lists the same sequence under 1 other name.
GCCCUUGUAGCUUAAUGGAUAAAGCAGUCCCCUCCUAAGGGAAAGAGUGCCAGUUCGACUCUGGCCUCGGGCGCCA